Molecule: ribosomal RNA, 497 nt
Filed under: uncultured bacterium
Lineage: Bacteria
Description: partial 16S ribosomal RNA
Rfam family: Bacterial small subunit ribosomal RNA
Source: RNAcentral
GAUGAACGCUGGCGGCGUGCCUAAUACAUGCAAGUCGAGCGAACAGACGAGGAGCUUGCUCCUUCGACGUUAGCGGCGGACGGGUGAGUAACACGUGGGUAACCUACCUAUAAGACUGGGAUAACUUCGGGAAACCGGAGCUAAUACCGGAUAAUAUUUCGAACCGCAUGGUUCGAUAGUGAAAGACGGCUUUGCUAUCACUUAUAGAUGGACCUGCGCCGUAUUAGCUAGUUGGUAAGGUAACGGCUUACCAAGGCAACGAUACGUAGCCGACCUGGGAGGGUGAUCGGCCACACUGGAACUGAGACACGGUCCAGACUCCUACGGGAGGCAGCAGUAGGGAAUCUUCCGCAAUGGGCGAAAGCCUGACGGAGCAACGCCGCGUGAGUGAUGAAGGUCUUCGGAUCGUAAAACUCUGUUAUUAGGGAAGAACAAACGUGUAAGUAACUGUGCACGUCUUGACGGUACCUAAUCAGAAAGCCACGGCUAACUACGUG